UACGAAGGGGCUAGCGUUGCUCGGAAUCACUGGGCGUAAAGCGCACGUAGGCGGAUUGCUAAGUCAGGGGUGAAAUCCUGGAGCUCAACUCCAGAACUGCCUCGAUACUGAGAGACUUGAGUUCGGGAGAGGUGAGUGGAACUGCGAGUGUAGAGGUGAAAUUCGUAGAUAUUCGCAAGAACACCAGUGGCGAAGGCGGCUC
RNAcentral lists this ribosomal RNA (202 nucleotides) under uncultured bacterium. RNAcentral describes it as "partial 16S ribosomal RNA". It matches the Rfam family "Bacterial small subunit ribosomal RNA", at positions 524 to 727 of the family's 1533-position model. The record is from RNAcentral.